UACGUAGGACCCAAGCGUUAUCCGGAGUGACUGGGCGUAAAGAGUUGCGUAGGCGGUGAUUUAAGCGAGGAGUGAAAUAUGAUGGCUCAACCAUCAAAACAUUUCUCGAACUGAAUCACUCGAGUAUGGUAGAGGUAGCUGGAAUUUCUAGUGUAGGAGUGAAAUCCGUAGAUAUUAGAAGGAACACCAAUGGCGUAGGCAGGCUACUGGACCAUUACUGACGCUGAGGCACGAAAGCGUGGGGAGCGAACCGG
RNAcentral lists this ribosomal RNA (254 nucleotides) under uncultured prokaryote. Its description in RNAcentral is "partial 16S ribosomal RNA". It matches the Rfam family "Bacterial small subunit ribosomal RNA", at positions 524 to 776 of the family's 1533-position model. The record is from RNAcentral.